AAACCGUUGAAAGGGAAGCGAAUGGAGUUAGCAAUUCGCCCUGCCAGAUUCAGUUGUUCGUGCUUCGCGACGUGCGCGCUCUCGAUCCGCAUGGACGUGACGUGCACGGGUGCGACGUGCGGACGGCGCACUUCUGGCGGGCGAGCGUCAGCGUCGGUCGCCGACGGGCGAUAAGGUCGCGAGGAAGGUAGACGUGCCUUCGGGCGCGUUGUUAAGACUCGCGUUCGCAUGGCUCGACGGCGACCGUGGCUCCUUCACACGGAGGCGACGCGUGCCUGGCUGGUGACUCGUGCGAUCGGUCCGGCAUGUCGACCGUGGCGGACGGCACGCCUGUGCGCUCAAACUGCUGCCGGUCGCUCGCACGGUGUUCGCACACUACGCGUCGAAGACGCUGACGACCAUACGGCUCCAUCCGACCCGUCUUGAAACACGGACCAAGGAGUCUAACAUGUGCGCAAGUCUCCGGGUGAUCGAAACCCGUGGGCGCAAUGAAAGUAAAGGUCGUCCUAGACGAUUGAGGUGAGAAGCGCGCUUCGUCUCGACGCGCGCCGCAUCAUCGACCGACCUAUUCUGCUCUCAGAAAGGUUUGAGUAAGAGCGUAUCUGUUGGGACCCGAAAGAUGGUGAACUAUGCCUGAAUAGGGUGAAGCCAGCGGAAACACUGGUGGAAGCUCGUAGCGAUUCUGACGUGCAAAUCGAUCGUCGAAUUUGGGUAUAGCGGCGAAAGACUAAUCGAACCAUCUAGUAGCUGGUUCCCUCCGAAGUUUCCCUCAGGAUAGCUGGAGUUCAUACAUGCAGU
Molecule: ribosomal RNA, 798 nt
Filed under: Sclerophytum notandum
Lineage: Eukaryota; Metazoa; Cnidaria; Anthozoa; Malacalcyonacea; Sarcophytidae
Description: partial 28S ribosomal RNA
Rfam family: Eukaryotic large subunit ribosomal RNA
Source: RNAcentral